Molecule: transfer RNA, 59 nt
Filed under: Boodlea composita
Lineage: Eukaryota; Viridiplantae; Chlorophyta; Ulvophyceae; Cladophorales; Boodleaceae
Description: tRNA-Ala
Source: RNAcentral
UAUCAGGCAUCUUCAUUAAAGAAGUGGCUUGCAACACGGAUGUUGUACAUUAACGAUGA